This 578-nucleotide ribosomal RNA is filed under the name Terfezia boudieri. Its description in RNAcentral is "eukaryotic LSU rRNA". The stretch from base 214 to 367 matches the Rfam family "5.8S ribosomal RNA". Lineage: Eukaryota; Fungi; Ascomycota; Pezizomycetes; Pezizales; Pezizaceae. The record is from RNAcentral.
GAAGGAUCAUUACUGAAAAACUAUUUUAAGUUUUUUAUAUCCCAUUGUUUACUUACCCUGUUGCUUUCACUGGACAGAUUUCACCUUGUGUGGGUCCUUUGGCUUGUGUGAAAUACCACUUGCCAAAGAGUUGCCAGUGGUAAGACCUAUUUAUCAAAACAUGAGUUUCAAUAAACACAACUGUCUGAAUAUUUUUUUUCUUUAAUGAAAUAAAACUUUCAACAACGGAUCUCUAGGCUCUUGCAUCGAUGAAGAACGCAGUGAAAUGCGAUAAGUAAUGUGAAUUGCAGAAUCUCGUGAAUCAUUGAAUCUUUGAACGCACAUUGCGCCCUAUGGUAUUCCAUUGGGCAUGCCUGUCUGAGCGUCAGCUCCCCCUCCACUCAAGAAUUAUUUUAUAUGAUACUUGGAUUACUUUGGAGAUGUAACUGUAUAUUAAGUUGCCCUCCAGAAAUUCAUUGGCAGGGGCUUUACUUGGACCAGACGUAAUAGUAAUAAAAUCCAAGCCUUAGAUUGAAUUGUACUUGCCUUAACCCCCACCCAUUUUUAUUUUGGGUGACCUCAGAUCAGUAGGAGUACGG